CGAGCGAUGAGGCCUCUUCGGAGGUACAUCAGCGGCAGACGGGUGAGUAACACGUGGGUGACCUGCCCUCAAGACGGGGAUAACUGUUGGAAACAGCAGCUAAUACCCGAUGCCCUUACCGUGUCGAAGUGGUAAGGAAAGCUCCGGUGCUUGAGGAGGGGCUCGCGGCCCAUCAGCUAGUUGGUGAGGUAAUGGCUCACCAAGGCGAAGACGGGUAGGGGGUGUGAGAGCAUGACCCCCCACAAUGGGACUGAGAUACGGCCCAUACUUCUACGGAAGGCAGCAGCAGGGAAUCUUGCCCAAUGGACGAAAGUCUGAGGCAGCGACGCCGCGUGAGUGAUGACGGCCUUCGGGUUGUAAAACUCUUUUUGAGGGGAAGAGCGAGGACGGUACCCUCAGAAUAAGCGUCGGCUAACUACGUGCCAGCAGCCGCGGUAAGACGUAGGACGCAAGCGUUAUCCGGAUUUACUGGGCGUAAAGCGUCUGUAGGCGGACAGGUAAGUUGAACGUGAAAGCUCCGUGCUCAACGCGGAGAGGCCGUACAAUACUGCCUGACUAGAGGAGGUCAGAGGGGAGUGGAAUUUCCGGUGUAGCGGUAAAAUGCGCAGAUAUCGGAAGGAACACCAGUGGCGAAGGCGGCUCCCUGGGGCCCACCUGACGCUGAGAGACGAAAGCUAGGGGAGCGAACAGGAUUAGAGACCCUGGUAGUCCUAGCCCUAAACGCUGAAUGCUAGGUGUGGGGACGUAAAGUUUCCGUGCCGGAGCUAACGCGAUAAGCAUUCCGCCUGGGGAGUACGACCGCAAGGUUAAAACUCAAACGAAUUGACGGGACCCCGCACAAGCAGCGGAGCGUGCGGUUUAAUUCGAUCUACACGAAGAACCUUACCUGGGUUUGACAUACAAGUGGUAGGAAGCCGAAAGGUGACUGACCCUUCGGGGAGCUUGUACAGGUGCUGCAUGGCUGUCGUCAGCUCGUGCCGUGAGGUGUCGGGUUAAGUCCCGUAACGAGCGCAACCCUUGCCCUUAGUUACAAGUGUCUAAGGGGACUGCCGGCGGGAAGCCGGAGGAAGGUGGGGAUGACGUCAAGUCAGCAUGGCCCUUAUGUCCAGGGCUACACACACGCUACAAUGGGCGGUACAGAGGGCAGCGAAGCCGCGAGGUGAAGCGAAUCCCACAAAGCCGUUCGUAGUUCGGAUAGCAGGCUGCAACUCGCCUGCUUGAAGCUGGAGUUGCUAGUAACCGCGCGUCAGCUAUAGUGCGGUGAAUACGCUCCCGGGGUUUGUACACACCGCCCGUCACGUCAUGGGAGUUGGUAACGCCUGAAGCCGAUAGCUUAACUCGCAAGAGGGGGCGUCGUCGAGGGCGGGACUGGCAACUGGGACGAAGUCGUAACAAGGUA
RNAcentral lists this ribosomal RNA (1399 nucleotides) under metagenome. RNAcentral's name for it is "bacterial SSU rRNA". It matches the Rfam family "Bacterial small subunit ribosomal RNA". The record is from RNAcentral.